GUCUUUGGGUUCUGGGGGGAGUAUGGUCGCANGGCUGAAACUUAAAGAAAUUGACGGAAGGGCACCACCAGGCGUGCUUAAUUUGACUCAACACGGGGAAACUCACCAGGUCCAGACACAAUAAGGAUUGACAGAUUGAGAGCUCUUUCUUGAUCUUGUGGGUGGUGGUGCAUGGCCGU
Molecule: ribosomal RNA, 179 nt
Filed under: Glypholecia scabra
Lineage: Eukaryota; Fungi; Ascomycota; Lecanoromycetes; Acarosporales; Acarosporaceae
Description: partial 18S ribosomal RNA
Rfam family: Eukaryotic small subunit ribosomal RNA
Source: RNAcentral